RNAcentral lists this ribosomal RNA (592 nucleotides) under Tetratrichomonas gallinarum. Its description in RNAcentral is "SSU rRNA". It matches the Rfam family "Eukaryotic small subunit ribosomal RNA", at positions 613 to 1321 of the family's 1831-position model. The record is from RNAcentral. Lineage: Eukaryota; Parabasalia; Trichomonadida; Trichomonadidae.
UUGCAGUUAAAAAGCUCGUAGUCUGAAAUGAGCAAUUAAUGGUCAUACGUAAUUUUACGUUACACUGUGAACAAAUCAGGACGCUUAGAGUAUGGUUACAGGAAUGACUCAGCGCAGUAUGAUAUCUUUGUUUUUUUCGGAAAACAAGCUCAAUGAGAGCCAUCGGGGGUAGAUCUAUCCCAUGACGAGUGGUGGAAUACGGUGACUCAUGGGAGAGAAUCGGAGGCGAAGGCGUCUACCUAGAGGGUUUCUGUCGAUCAAGGGCGAGAGUAGGAGUAUCCAACAGGAUUAGAGACCCUGGUAGUUCCUACUGUAAACGAUGCCGACAGGAGUUUGUCAUUUGCUAAUGGCAGAAUCUUUAGAGAAAUCAUAGUUCUUGGGCUCUGGGGGAACUACGACCGCAAGGCUGAAACUUGAAGGAAUUGACGGAAGGGCACACCAGGGGUGGAGCCUGUGGCUUAAUUUGAAUCAACACGGGGAAACUUACCAGGACCAGAUGUUUUUUAUGACUGACAGGCUUAAGGUCUUUCAGGCAUAUGAUUUUUGGUGGUGCAUGGCCGUUGGUGGUGCGUGGGUUGACCUGUCCUAGCGU